Molecule: long non-coding RNA, 2941 nt
Filed under: Anas platyrhynchos platyrhynchos (common mallard)
Lineage: Eukaryota; Metazoa; Chordata; Aves; Anseriformes; Anatidae
Description: lncRNA (ENSAPLG00000017277.1)
Source: RNAcentral
AAGUAGCUUUGUGUGUUCUUGAGAGUUGAUAUAAUUUAUAAACUUUUGAGAGCUGUUGAGCUAAAGUAACUGAUAUUAAAAUUUUGUGUUCAUUUAAGGAAGCCGAAUCUUCAUUUAAGGAAGCUGUUGAUGACAGUGUUGAUUACUCUGACCAUGAGUGAGGACAAUUCUGGCCAGAAAGGAAAUGCAAGGAGUCCACAGACAAAAAUCCACCUAGAGAGCUUCUAAACCAACUCACUGCACUGAAGAUGUUUCAGCUGUCAGCUCAAUGGAGGUCGAGCUCUUCUUUGGGAAGUGUGAGCGCACUUGCAAAAGGAAGAGCUUCCAGGAGUGGAAGAAAGUAACUACAACCUGCAGCCAAGAGCAGAUGAUGGAAACAGACUUUCAAGGGCAUCACGUCCCUGCUCUGCGGGUUAUGGUUUGCCUGCCUUCUGCUGAGUUGGACAGUCAGAUGGAGAGUUCAAAAUUGCAGUUGCCAGAAGAAAUGAGCAGUAAAGAAACAAAUCACCUUUGACCAGAAAUGGAAAACUUCAGUAUAGAAGAUAACAGUGGAACAAAAAAAAAUGUCUGUGUGCUGUCACCGCCUUGACUUUGACAGAAAAAUCUGUGACUUUUAGGGUUUUUCCAUAAGUUGUUAGAGAAAACAUUUUGACUGAAUUGGGCCAGAGGAAAACUUGUGAGUUAAUCAGAAAACAGAAUGUUUGUCCUUUGGAAAACACUGGUAUCAUAAAAUGUUUCUCAAUGAAAAUGAGAAAAAUUAUUUGUUUUCCUUUGCAAUUAAAACGUUUCAGGUGUCAUGUGAAAUAAGUUGGACUUCUUAAAGUUGUCAGAAUCUCGGUAGGAUGACUUGGAGUGCUUGCACUGUUGUUUAUAGCAAUCCCAAAAUGAAUUCCCUAAUCAACCUGUAGCUAUUUUAAACCACUAGAAGAUUCAUCCUUAGCAAAUAAGGGCUGCUGAAUUAAUCCAUUUUGCUCAUUGGCAUAUGACUGUUUUCCCACUUCAUAUUUAAUUAUUCCUUAUCCUGGAGCACAAAACACAUUUUGAAACAUGCCUUUCUGCUAUCCAGAUAUCAACACAUGACUGCAAAUUAGCUGUUGGUUUUUGACAGCAUUGCCUUUCCCUGGCCCCAACAACAAAACUGGAAAUGACUUUAGAUGGUUUCUUUUCCUUUUAAAGUUAGAAUACACCGAUUCAGUGGCCAUGCAGUUCCCCUUCAUUGCACUCUCUUCUUCUGCCAGUUUUUUUUUUUUUAAUAGUCAAGCUCUGCUCACAUUGUUUGCACUCCUCAAUGAUCACAACAUCAGUGGCCAUGAGUACAUCCAUAAUUCCCUAAAAGGCAUUAGCUGCCCUGUAUUGCUAGUGAUCAUGGGUUUCAGAGGUCAGGCAUUGUGUUGUCAGUCCCACGUGCCCUAGGAAGCAGCACUUGUGAAUCGUUUCUUUGAUGUAAGAUGCCUUUGAACCUCACUGUGUAGCCUAUGUUUUGGCUGCAGUGAAAGAAAGAUGACCUUGGUGCAGGCUCAGCUCAAAGAUGACUGUUGAAGAGGCAGCACCUCUUGAUUGACCACUGGGCCUGUCUUAUGCCUGGAUGUUUACAGUCAACCUCUGCUCCCUCCCUGUCUGGUGGAUAUAACACUCAAACCUUGCAGUGUGAGGGGAUACGAGCUGUGAAGGCACCUCGUAUCAAGGCAGGUGCCCUGCGGAGCUGGCUCAUGAGAACGCUCGCCCCAGGCAUGGCAGGUCUGCAAGAUUUGUGAUAAAGCCUUCAUCACUAACGGUAACCGGAGAAAUUCUAACAUGCUCUUCCCAACAGCUGCUCAAUCCAAGUUUCAGCACCCAUUCCAGCUGUUGACAAUUAUACUCUCCCUGUAGCCUUAGUUAGAUGUGGUGUGUGUCACAACAGAUCUAACCUGUUAAACAGAUGCUGCUUUUUGCUCCAGCAGGGAUUCUGUAAUUGACAGAAAAAAUGAUUUUGACAUAUGGUAGGUAAUGUUUCUCAAUUUGUUAAAUUCACCAUUUGGGAUUAAAGGUGUCAUAGAAAUUUCAAGUGCUAUUGUUCAUUCUAAAUGACUGUCCCAUUUUCCUUAAAAAAAAAAAAAAAUAUAUAUAUAUAUAUAUACACACUUUUUUUUUUCCUGCAUUUUGCACUCUGGUUAGUUUCUUCAUGUUCCAUUAUGGAACUGCUAUUAAUUAGUCUUUUACCCUAGGAUAUCAACAUCGUCAAUCACACAGGACAUUCUUCUGACCUCUGUUAGGCAUUUAACAAUUUCUGACCUUACUUACUUCUUUAGUUACUUGAGCUUUCAGUCUUCUAUUCCUAAUUUCAACGCAAUUUCAGUUCUUUUCACAGAAACUCUUGCUGAGUUUAAGCAUGCAAAUGCACUUCACAGUACUUUGUGAGUCCAAAUUUUCUGGUUGUACUUGCUUGCUUUACUAUAUUUCCCCAUGACCUGGGAUUAAUUACAAACUGAUGAAAUAUCAGGAUUUGUUCUUCAAGACUUUCUGUGAGUGCAUGAAAGAGAGAUACUGAGACAGCAGCUCAGUGAACCGCUGGCUUGAGGCUUAGUUGUACCUAAAUGCUGUCAUUCAUGGAGCCAACUCAAACCAUCAGUCAAAACCCUGUCAGUCUAAACAAAGCUGAAGCUUGAAAAUUUUUGCUUUAGUUGGCAUUUAAGUCUUUCUUUGUAUCCAAUUCCUAACUUUAAGUAGAAUAUCUUGCACAAAAAAGGGUUCGUUUCGAGUCCAGCUCUGCAAUGUAUUGUGUGUAGAGGCCUGAUCUCAGAGAAGUUACAGCUCCAAUAGGAAUGAACAACAGCAUGAGCAGAGUGAGCUGUUCCCCAGAAAGGUCGAUUAAACAAUUUAACACCUCUCAUCAUUUCAUGGGAUGUCAUUUCCAUAUUUGUGUAAGAAUAAAGGAAACCCACCUGUGGAUGUUAGAGGGAUG